Molecule: ribosomal RNA, 786 nt
Filed under: Triticum aestivum (bread wheat)
Lineage: Eukaryota; Viridiplantae; Streptophyta; Magnoliopsida; Poales; Poaceae
Description: partial small subunit ribosomal RNA
Source: RNAcentral
AUGAAGGCCAACUGUAUCGUCCUCAUCCACCACACCGGUAGUCAGUGGCGUCUCGUGGAUAUCUACACCCAGCGAGAGAUCACCCUUCCAUCGUUCGAUACCGCCAACAUCAAGCCUCGCGGCCCGCCGGACACUCCUGCCUACUACGCACGAGACGCCAUGACCCUCUUUUGUUGGAUAUUAUGUACUGUUGUUAGUUUGAAGCACUCCUCUAGUUUGAAGGAUAGAUACCUUCCUGGGAUCAAGUGCAUCCUAACUCACCUGCUACCAUAUAACUGGAAUUACCGAUGCAAGUCAAAGAAGGAUUGGCCGGUGCUGCCGGCUGGCGUCAAGUUCGAUCCCACGGAUCAGGAGCUGAUCGAGCACCUUGAGGCCAAAGUGACUGUUGACAGCGCGAGAUUUAAGUCUCUCAUUGAUUUGCUCAUACCAACCAUCGACAGCGAGCACGGCAUAUGCUACACCCAACCUGAGAAACUUCCAGGUAUCACACUGAGUGGCCUAAGGAAGCAUUUCUUCCAGCGCAAUUCCAGGGCAUUCAAAAGGGGAACACGGGCAGCAAAAAAGGUUCUGGUGCUGCACACCAACAAGAACUUUGACCAGCAGAGGACCAACUGGGUGAUGCACCAGUACCACAUCGGGGGCCUGGAGCAAGAGAAGGAGCGGGAGCUGGUCCUCUGCAAGAUUUUCUACCAGACAAACACUAGGGCCAGGAGUAGUUUGGUAUUGGUAGUUGUACUACCUUGUCGUCCGCAAGUUGGUAUUGUUGUUAACGAUCUUUUGGUAUGA